UUCUCCAAGUUCAACGUUCUUCAGCCGUGUGCACGUUGUCUGGCAAGCUUAGGAAGCGUAGACCUUCAAGUAUCCGGUCCGGUGUUUUAAAGUUUAUACAGCGUAGACCUUCAGCAACGUUAAUAACGCAGUGUUCAGGCUUAUUCAGUAAUGAGAGUGGGUAUCGGAAUGGCUUAAUCACCUGCGACCAAAACUCCUGAAACAUGUAAGUGUUGAUCUAUCAUCUGUGAGUUCUGUAAAUUCCUUAAGGUUUCGGUGACGUCUUCCAUUCUUCUCUUCAAAGGUUAUUUUCCAGAGAACUUUAUUUAAAAGGUAAUGACUGCUAAUAAGGUGCUUUUGUUGGAAGUUCAUAAAGUGAUUUGGAAAAGAAAAGAGGAGGUAUUAGAUCGACAGAGAAAGUUCAAGCGGACGGAGAUUGAUCUGCAAA
Molecule: long non-coding RNA, 427 nt
Organism: Macrobrachium nipponense
Lineage: Eukaryota; Metazoa; Arthropoda; Malacostraca; Decapoda; Palaemonidae
Exons: 3
Source: RefSeq, a predicted model, not a curated record